Molecule: long non-coding RNA, 402 nt
Organism: Theobroma umbraticum
Lineage: Eukaryota; Viridiplantae; Streptophyta; Magnoliopsida; Malvales; Malvaceae
Source: RefSeq, a predicted model, not a curated record
GUAAACUCAAGGGAGAGUGUGAUAAAGUUGAAUUGAAUUGUCAGUGUUUGAAGGUCAUGAUGUUUCUGCGAAAAACCAAACUAUGUGCUGAUGGCAGCAGAGACAUUGGGGAUUGAAGGUAAAGAAUGAAAUGGCCCGAAGUUAAUGCCAUUCAGCAGAAAAAAAAAGGGAAAAAGAAUGGAUAAUGCAAUAAUACCAAAAAAGAAAAGAGGAUCAAGGAGAAAUGAACAAGGGGAAAUAAGUUGGGUGUUUUGCUUUUCAUUACUAAGUUAAAAAGGUUGUGGCAGCUGUCAUCUUCUUAUUCUUUCCACCCUAUUUCUUCCACACAAAAUAUGCUUGGUGGGUAAGAGAAAAUGCUAUGAAGGUUUAAGGAUGGAAAAGGGUGUGCAUGACCAAAGGCAG